UUACUUCAGCAGCACAUAAACUAAAAAUUGUAACAAUACAGAAAAGAUUAGCAUGGCUCCUGUGCAAGGAUGACAUGCAAAUUUAUGAAGCAUUCCAUAUUAAA
Small nuclear RNA from Suricata suricatta (meerkat), 104 nucleotides. The record is from Ensembl. Lineage: Eukaryota; Metazoa; Chordata; Mammalia; Carnivora; Herpestidae.